CACACCAACGGGUUGUGAUCUGUGAGCAAGGAAAAAGGUUGUCCAUAUAGAUACGGCUGCAACUUUCUGAGGGCCCACACCACGGCCAGGCAUUCUUUCUCGAUGGCGGUGUAGCUCACUUCCCGUGGUAAAUGUUUCCGGCUUAGAUACGCUACGGGAUGUUCUCCGCCAUCUGCUACAACUUGGCUCAUCACUGCUCCCAAUCCAAACAUUGAAGCGUCUGUGUGGACAAGAAAUAGUUUAGUUGGAUCAGGAGCAGCAAGUACAGGUGCAUUAGUUAGAGCCGUCUUGAGUUGGUUAAAUGCCUGAUCACACUCUGGGGCCCAGACGACCUGUCGAGGAAGGUUCUUGUGGGCCAAGUCAGUCAAGGGUUUGGUCAGGGCACUGUAAUUAG
Molecule: non-coding RNA, 394 nt
Organism: Pelobates cultripes (western spadefoot toad)
Lineage: Eukaryota; Metazoa; Chordata; Amphibia; Anura; Pelobatidae
Source: the annotation of a GenBank genome assembly